This 253-nucleotide ribosomal RNA is filed under the name uncultured bacterium. RNAcentral's name for it is "partial 16S ribosomal RNA". It matches the Rfam family "Bacterial small subunit ribosomal RNA", at positions 524 to 776 of the family's 1533-position model. The record is from RNAcentral.
UACGGGGGGGGCAAGCGUUGUUCGGAAUUACUGGGCGUAAAGGGCUCGUAGGCGGCCCUCUCAGUCGGAUGUGAAAUCCCCAGGCUUAACCUGGGAACGGCAUCCGAUACUGGAGGGCUUGAAUUCGGGAGAGGGAUGCAGAAUUCCAGGUGUAGCGGUGAAAUGCGUAGAUAUCUGGAGGAACACCUGUGGCGAAAGCGGCGCACUGGACCAUAACUGACGCUGAGGCGCGAAAGCUAGGGGAGCAAACAGG